RNAcentral lists this ribosomal RNA (253 nucleotides) under uncultured bacterium. Its description in RNAcentral is "partial 16S ribosomal RNA". It matches the Rfam family "Bacterial small subunit ribosomal RNA", at positions 524 to 776 of the family's 1533-position model. The record is from RNAcentral.
UACGUAGGGGGCGAGCGUUAUCCGGAUUCACUGGGUGUAAAGGGAGCGUAGACGGCCAUGCAAGCCAGGGGUGAAAGCCCGGGGCCCAACCCCGGGAUUGCCCUUGGAACUGCAUGGCUGGAGUGCGGGAGGGGCAGGCGGAAUUCCUGGUGUAGCGGUGAAAUGCGUAGAUAUCAGGAGGAACACCGGUGGCGAAAGCGGCUCUCUGGCCUGUAACUGACACUGAGGCUCGAAAGCGUGGGGAGCAAACAGG